Coffea eugenioides is the source of this 377-nucleotide long non-coding RNA. RefSeq lists it as uncharacterized. Lineage: Eukaryota; Viridiplantae; Streptophyta; Magnoliopsida; Gentianales; Rubiaceae. The transcript has 3 exons. The record is from RefSeq and is a predicted model, not a curated record.
UCCUUUUGUUAGGUGGGAAAGGAUGAUGGAGAUUGAAGAUGAACUGAUGAUGAUUUUGAUGGAGGUUUCGACAUUCUUCCAUGGUUCCAGAUGUUUUACUGGAAACAUUAAACUUUACCCACCAUGUGUAAAGAGUUGGCAUUUUUGCCAAUUGGGAUAUAUUUCAAAGCAUUUCGGGCUGUGAUCAAUGGAAGAUUUGUGAGGCCUACGCACAUUGUAACAGCUAUGAUCCUAUGGAUGAAAGACAUUUAGGUUUUUCUUUUGUUGCUCAUUACCCUGCUAUGAUUUGUGUAAGGAUCCUUGCACCGUAAUUGAUUUAUGCAAUAUGCCAUUGUACUACAAUAAGAAGGUUUAUUCACUAAAUAAGGUUGAAUACU